Molecule: long non-coding RNA, 676 nt
Organism: Myotis lucifugus (little brown bat)
Lineage: Eukaryota; Metazoa; Chordata; Mammalia; Chiroptera; Vespertilionidae
Exons: 2
Source: RefSeq, a predicted model, not a curated record
GGCAGCACGGGGAGCCUUCAUGUCAGCUGGCCUGGGCGCUCCCUCCCUCACGAUGCUGCGCUGGCUUCAGCCUCCCUGAAACGUGAACAUUUCCUGUUUCCUGCUUGUUUGGGUGACAACACAGAACAAAUGGUGGAAGAAAAUAGACGCGAUCAAAACCCGAUGAUUGAUUGGAAAGCAACAGGGAAAGAACUAUUCAUCAAACUCUCGCUGCGCAAGGGAAUAGGCCACUGGCUCUGAGACCCUCUGGCGCUGAGUUUGGUUGGCAGUUACCCUGUACUCGCAUGCAUUUCCCAGCUGCCACACACCGGCAACAGAAGAGGCCCAGGGCUUGGAUCUCUCUUCAUUUCGCCACAUACCCCCUGUUAAAACCAUUGUUGGGUCCCAGGCUCAAGGCACGUGCUUGUCAAGGGCGAGGUGUCAGCCUUGGUUUCUUUGAUUUUAAAACCACAGAAGGUCUUAUUCUGCAGCCCCCUGCAGAGGCCUGGCCAGACGGUUCCUCAGAGCUGCUACAAGUGCACCGGCGUUACUUCUGAGCAAGCACAGCCCUCCAUCGGUUAGAAUGAUGUGCAGAAUAAACUGAGGCCGCGGAGACAUCCUGCACAACCGUAUAAUUUUCUUUUGACCUCUGUGCUCUCUGAGACCCUUGCCGUGAUUAAACUGAUCUUAGGGGGAA